AGCAGCCGCGGUAAUUCCAGCUCCAAUAGCAUAUAUUAAAGUUGUUGCAGUUAAAAAGCUCGUAGUUGAAUUUCGGGAUCAAAGGAUCGGUCAUGCCUUGGUAUGUACUGGUUUUAUUGGUUCUCACCUUCUAAAGAACCAUAAUGUCAUUCAUUUGAUGUUAUGGGGAAUUAGGACUGUUACCUUGAAAAAAUUAGAGUGUUUAAAGCAGGCUUACGCUUGAAUACAUUAGCAUGGAAUAAUGAAAUAGGACAUCAGAUUCUAUUUUGUUGGUUUCUAGGAUCGAUGUAAUGAUUAAUAGGGAUAGUUGGGGGCAUUAGUAUUCAAUUGUCAGAGGUGAAAUUCUUGGAUUUAUUGAAGACUAACUACUGCGAAAGCAUUUGCCAAGGAUGUUUUCAUUAAUCAAGAACGAAAGUUAGGGGAUCGAAGACGAUCAGAUACCGUCGUAGUCUUAACCAUAAACUAUGCCGACUAGGGAUCGGAUGAUGUUAAUUUUUAUAAUGACUCAUUCGGCGCCUUA
This 520-nucleotide unclassified non-coding RNA is filed under the name uncultured Glomus. RNAcentral's name for it is "SSU rRNA". It matches the Rfam family "Eukaryotic small subunit ribosomal RNA", at positions 569 to 1090 of the family's 1831-position model. Lineage: Eukaryota; Fungi; Glomeromycota; Glomeromycetes; Glomerales; Glomeraceae. The record is from RNAcentral.